Long non-coding RNA from Chenopodium quinoa (quinoa), 1306 nucleotides. RefSeq lists it as uncharacterized. The record is from RefSeq and is a predicted model, not a curated record. The transcript has 5 exons. Lineage: Eukaryota; Viridiplantae; Streptophyta; Magnoliopsida; Caryophyllales; Amaranthaceae.
CGGUGGCAUAAAUGGUAAAGGCCACAGGUUUUGAAGCAAUGGUUUUGUUAAAAAAAAAACGCGCCUCAUCUCUACUUCUCUCUUCUCGUACUCUCUCCUUUGUUUUCUCUCUCUUCUUGAUUUCUUCGUCUCCUCUCUCUUCUCUCUGCUCAAACCCUCCUUUCUCUCUCUUCACUUGCCUCCUCUUGCUCCAUCUACCACCGCCCCAUCUACCGCCACUCCACUCUUUCUUUCUUUCACUUCUCUCUUGGCAGCACUACUGGGGAAUUUAGGAUUUGAGGAUGACGGCGGUGGUGAAUGUUGUCGCCACCAUCGUAAUUGACGGUAUUUUUAUUUACCGGUGCCAGAUCUUUGCAGAUGUGGUGGAAUUCUUCACGAAGUUGGGGUUAUGUUGUGAUGAGGUUGAUGAACAUGUUGUUCUCUUCAUGGCGCCAAGGUGAUUAUGGUGACGGUGGUCGCGAUCCGCCAGCCCACUCCAUCUCUCUAUCUCUUCUUGAGUCCUCUACUUAAAUCCGAGAAUAAGAAAACGGAGGGAAAGAUGAAAGUGUGUCUCAACCGAGUUUCAUUGAGUUCAAAUUGGACGAGAUAAGAGCUGCUGCUUCUGGGUUUUCUUAUUAAUUACUGUUCAUAUAUUUAAGGUUGGAAUUUGCGAGCUUCCAUUUCAUCCAAUUAGUUCGGAGGUUAUUGGAGGAGUUGGUGGAAUGAAAAGUAAUUUCCGAGGCGUGUGCUUAAUAAGGACAGGUUUAGUUUCAAUUUUGUUUCUUAAUUUUUUUUAUUGUUAAUUUGUGAUUGCAAUUACUGAUUGUUCUGGUGCAUCUGUUGCUGCAACUGCUGCCUUGCAAGCUGCUGCUGCCUCGCAGGGUGUUGCUCCUGUGUUGCUGUUGUAUCUGUGCUAUCAUGUUGCUGCUGCUUCUGUCUUGUGCUUGUAAUGUAUCAAUGAUUCUUUUCCAACAACAUCUAUAGAGUUUCUUAUUUUGCUAUGGCCAUGUGAUCAGAUAUUUCCUUGUUUAUUGUGAUUGAAGGUUGGUAGUAUAAUAACUAUGUGCACAGUAAACACGUUUUGCUGUAUCGAUGUCUCUGAUCUCUCUGUCACAUUCCUCUUUGCCUUGUCAUACUAGGUAAUGACAAGGCAAAACAUGGUUUUUAUCUUCUAAUAGGCAUAAUGGAAGUGAGUGACUCUAGGUUUCAUGGUGUAGAACUUGUUAUCACACAUAAUUUGUAGUUUUUUGAAGUUAUCCAAAGUUGCUUUCUUUGGAGUUUGCCAAGGAAAUAGCUAAAUAUAUGGCCAAAAACAUAUUCGAAUGCA